This is a non-coding RNA of Pelobates cultripes (western spadefoot toad), 324 nucleotides long. Lineage: Eukaryota; Metazoa; Chordata; Amphibia; Anura; Pelobatidae. The record is from the annotation of a GenBank genome assembly.
GACAGAGUGAGGGAGGGGGUGACUAGUGACAGAGUUAGGGAGGGUAGGGGGUGACUAGUGACAGAGGGAGGGGUGACUAGGGACAGAGUGAGGGAGGUGGUGACUAGUGACAGUCAACACCUCCCUCACUCUGUCACUGGUCACCCACUCCCUCCCUCCAUCUGUCACUGGUCGCCCACUCCCUCCCUCACUCUGUCACCAGUCAUCCCCUCACUCUGUCACUAGUAACCCCUUCCUUCCCUCACUCUGCCACUAGUCACCCCUUUCCUCACUCUGUCACCUGUCACCCCCUCACUCUGUCACUAGUCACCCCCUCACUCUAGU